Long non-coding RNA from Strigops habroptila (Kakapo), 1702 nucleotides. Lineage: Eukaryota; Metazoa; Chordata; Aves; Psittaciformes; Psittacidae. The record is from Ensembl.
GCUGGGAGAAGAAGCAAUAGUAAUAUACUCUGCGUAGUGUAUCCCAUCCCAAACCUGCCUGCAAGCUAAUUCCAGACAAAUAUUUAUGGGAAUCAUGGAAGCAAAUACAUUCAUAUACAGCCCAUUAGAGAAAAAUACGCUUUCGCUGAUAUCUUUCCAUGCUUCUGUUAAUAGCCAGAAAGAGGGCACAGAAAAGCCUGGGAGUCUGCCAGUUUAUUGAUAACAUCACUUACUAUAGCUGAUGUACUGACGUAGCUUUUUAUUUGACCAUAAUUGAGGGGCGAUUAUUGUAUUAAUAAAGCAAGAGUUGAAUAUUCGCUGUUGAAUGCAAUCAUCAUCAUCUUCCUCUACUCAGAAGGAAGAAGAAUUUCAUUUAAACCACAAAAAAAGCCUACAGCAGUAUCAGCCAAAACUAGAUUAGCUUGUUUCCCACUGCUUCAUAAUGCUUGGGUGUUAGUAACUCUUUUUAGAUAUUACAAUGUUGUCAAGCAACAAUUAAAAACACAACAAUGCUUAGGCAAAUAUCAUAAACCUUUUGUAACUGAUUUGUAGCAGUCAAAUAUUUGCACUUUGUAGAACAGAAAAAAAUCAAAAUCAACCAUGAAUGAUGGUAUUAUUUGAUCCUCUGAAGAUUUAAAAUACUUCAUUUUGAAAAUAUAUGUAAAAAAACACCAAAACCCUCUAAUGGGCUGUAUACAUUUCCUUAUAAUGAAUACAUGGAAAUGCAAACACUAUUGGACAGGUGUAACUACCUAAUUACAUUCUAAUUGGAUUAUUAUUAUAUUAUUACUAGUAAAAAUUCUUAACCCUUCAGUGUCCACAGUUUCCAGGGGAAGUAGAAACCAGCCUUGCCCCAGAAAGCUUACAAUCUCAGCAAUGAUACUAAUCCCUGCAAGUCAUAUUAUCCUAGGUUAAGUACACCUACAGUAAAGAACAGGAGAGCUGAUCCAAAAAUCACAUCACAUUUCUGGCACAAAGCAGAAACCUCAACUCAUUCUUAAACUCUGUGCUUCACUCAGGUAUAUUUAUUUUCCCUCAAAUAAAAUAAAAUGCCAUACUACAUGAAAAAUGGUACAAAUGAGUAUAUGCUGUGUAGCUCCCCUGAUACUCCCAACCUUCUCCCUGGGCAAGGUCAGGGUAUGUUCAAACAGCUCAUAGUUUGAAGCAAGAGAACACUUAAAGCUUGUUAAAUCUUACCCAAAUAUUGUAAUACAGAAUAAAGAGGAUUUAUGCACUCUUAAACUUUUUCACUGCUACCCAAAGCAGUCCUGACCAUACUCCUCCUCCCCCACGCUUCCUAUUCUCACAUACUCCACCCUCCCUCUUGCCAGCAGUAGUGUAAGUUGUACAUUUAGCUUAAAAAUAACCUAAAGGGUUACAAUUUUUGCAUGUUGUGGGGAGUUAAUAUUUAACCCAGAUUACUUCCCAAUCUUGUUCCUGUGUCACUGGACACAGAGGUGUGAACCUGAUUAAUGAGAAGCAGAGUAGAAAUAGCUGCAUCUCCUUAAGCCUUGCUCCUGCCAAGGGGACAGCAUGAGCAAAGGUUAUGAGCCCUGACUGAUCCUACACCCUCUGGGAAGGCAGUUACAAAGCAGUGUUGUCAAACAGUCAUAACUAGGGAUAAUGCUCAGCAGAUGCAAUUUUUGAGAGGCUCAGGCAGGACAUGAAGGAAAACUUCUUCCCCAAGAGGAACCCUCCCUCU